AAGCGUUGUUCGGAAUUAUUGGGCGUAAAGCGCGUGUAGGCGGUUUGUUAAGUCUGAUGUGAAAGCCCCGGGCUCAACCUGGGAAGUGCAUUGGAUACUGGCAGACUUGAAUACGGGAGAGGGUAGUGGAAUUCCUGGUGUAGGAGUGAAAUCCGUAGAUAUCAGGAGGAACACCGGUGGCGAAGGCGGCUGCCUGGACCGAUAUUGACGCUGAGACGCGAAAGCGUGGGGAGCAAACAGGAUUAGAUACCCUGGUAGUCCACGCCGUAAACGAUGAGUACUAGGUGUCGCGGGUAUUGACCCCUGCAGUGCC
Molecule: ribosomal RNA, 313 nt
Filed under: uncultured delta proteobacterium
Lineage: Bacteria; Deltaproteobacteria
Description: bacterial SSU rRNA
Rfam family: Bacterial small subunit ribosomal RNA
Source: RNAcentral